AUAAAGCUUGAUUCUGGCUUUAAUUUUAUUUAUUUCUCAGUAGUUAUACAUGUAAAUAUUUGUUUGGUUUUGAAUCUGAAUGAAAAAAAAUUAUUAUUUGCAGUAUUUUAUUUUAUUUUUUUUAGGGUUGUCUAGAAAUAGCUAAUUGAGUUUAAGUUCUGACCUAAGUUGUGCCAGCAGUCGCGGUUAUACAACGGGAGCAAGUGAAUUUUUUUGGAUUUUAUUUAAUUUGUAUGUUUACUUUAAAUUUAAAUUUUUUGGGUGAAAUUGUAGAGUUUAUGUAAAAGUAUGGUUUAUGAUUAGAAUAUGAAGAUUUAAUGUGAGACUAGGAUUAGAUACCCUAUUAUUAUUAAUUGUGAAUUUUUGGAAUCCUUGUUAUUAAUAGCUAUGUUCUUAAAAUUAAAAGAAUUUGGCGGUAAUUUAGUCCUUUCAGAGGAAUCUGCCCUGUAAUUGAUAGUCCACGAUUAAUUUUACUUUAUUUAAGCUUGUAUAUCUCUGUCAUUGGAUGUUUUAUUAGAAUAUAUUUUCGUUUAAUUUUAUGAGGGUAAUGUCAGGUCAAGGUGCAGCAAUAAUAAAGAAGUGGUGGAUUACAUUAAAUGUAUUUAUGGAUUAAUUGAAGAGCUGGAAGUAUGGUUGUUUAUGAAAUUGGAUUUGAUAGUAAUUUUUAUUAAAAUAUAAUUUUGAUUUUGGCUCUAAAUUAUGUACACAUCGCCCGUCACUCUCAUUAGUUAAGAUGAGAUAAGUCGUAACAAAGUAGACCUACUGGAAGGUAGGCCUGGUAAGAAA
This 786-nucleotide non-coding RNA is filed under the name Reduvius gregoryi. The record is from RNAcentral. Lineage: Eukaryota; Metazoa; Arthropoda; Insecta; Hemiptera; Reduviidae.